Molecule: non-coding RNA, 320 nt
Organism: Lupinus albus (white lupine)
Lineage: Eukaryota; Viridiplantae; Streptophyta; Magnoliopsida; Fabales; Fabaceae
Source: the annotation of a GenBank genome assembly
UGGCCAAUGAUGAUAUCACUUAAUAUUCAUACCAUCUUUCGGGACUGAAUGGCUUAUUUGCCUUGCUGUUACAUUCUGCAAUUCUGAGGCUUUUUAUUUAUUUAUUUAUUUAUUUUCAUCUAUAGUUUUUUAUUUAAAAUAUUGAAAAUGAGGUUGAGAGUUUGAUAUGUUUUUAUGUUUUUUAGAUGUAACUAUUUUUUGUGUAAGCAUGUGUUUAUGUAGUUAGUGGCCAAUGAUGAGAUCAGAUAACAUAUUAACCAUCUUUCGGGACUGAAUGGCAUUUUUAAUGCCUUGCUGUUAUUUCUGCAUUUCUGAGGCUU